RNAcentral lists this ribosomal RNA (572 nucleotides) under Luchoelmis cekalovici. RNAcentral's name for it is "partial large subunit ribosomal RNA". It matches the Rfam family "Bacterial large subunit ribosomal RNA", at positions 1845 to 2695 of the family's 2925-position model. Lineage: Eukaryota; Metazoa; Arthropoda; Insecta; Coleoptera; Elmidae. The record is from RNAcentral.
AUAAGAUUUAACCUGCCCGCUGAUGAAUUGAAUGGCCGCGGUAUUUUGACCGUGCAAAGGUAGCAUAAUAAUUAGUUUUUUGAUUGAAAGCUGGAAUGAAUGGUUGGACGAGAAAAUUACUGUCUCUGGUUAAGUUAAAAUAAAAUUUUAUUUUUAAGUUAAAAAGCUUAAAUAAAAUUAAAAGACGAGAAGACCCUAUAGAGUUUUAUAUUUAAUUAAUAAUAUUAUUUAGGAAUUUAAGUUUUAUUUUUAUGAUAAUAUUUUAUUGGGGUGAUAAAAAGAUUUAUUAAACUCUUUUUUUAUUUAUACAUAUAUAUAUGAUUAUUUGAUCCAAUUUUUUUGAUUAUAAGAUUAAAUUACCUUAGGGAUAACAGCGUAAUCUUUUUAGAGAGUUCUUAUCGAAAAAGGGGAUUGCGACCUCGAUGUUGGAUUAAAGUUAAUUCUUGGUGAAGAAGCUAAGAAAUUGAGUCUGUUCGACUUUUAAAACUUUACAUGAUCUGAGUUUAAACCGGUGUGAGCCAGGUUGGUUUCUAUCUUUAUUUAGUUAAAAUAUUUUAGUACGAAAGGACCAA